AGCCCUAUUUUCUAUUUAUUUUUAUUAUAAAAAGAUAUUUAUUUUUAUAUAAUAAGCGUCGCCAACAACUCCCCCACACUUGGUCUUUUGCUCGUCCUCGAGUGAAGGCACUUAGGACCAAAUGGGUUCAUCAUCCUUGUCAAAGAGCCUGCAUACAGGUUAUUCCAAGCUUCACUUGGGUUUGUGAACUUCAAAGUGUCUACCACAUAAAUAUUUGGUGAUUGAAAUAUGGAACAGCCUGGAUUCAAGUCCUCUUGACUUUGUUCUUACUUAAGACACUUGGGUUUUUUGUAAGUUUUUGAAAUAAAAACAUGGCUUGUGAUUCCUUGAAUGAUUCUUUCAAAUCGCUCAUAUGUGUAAGUGGUUCCUUACCAAGGCAUAGAAGAUUGAUGCCUUCUUAUGAUCUUCCUACCUCUAAAAGCUUUAUCUGGAUUUUUAGGUAGGUAUAAAACGUGGGCAUACUUGCAGCACAUAUGUUGCAAAGUCAAAAACUGGACCACUAGGAGAUACAAGCCUUACGCCUUGAUUGAGAUUGUGCAAAUGUGUGGAAAUUGUUUGUGGAAUUGAUGGAAAUCCUAAUUCUAAAUAUUUUUGGUCACUCCUUUUUGCAUCAUGACUCUCUUUUAUUUUGAAGGAUAAAAGAGAGAGACAGAGAGAGGAAAACAUAUGGGCUCUACCUUGUGUAUAUUUUUCCCUGUUUUCUUUUUUUUUCAUGAUGGGGAUGUUUGAUUUUUUUUCCCAUCUAUGCCUCUUUGGUUUUUUUCCUUUGAUUUUUUUUCAACUAUAGCCCAUAUGUCUUGAUGAAUGGAAUCAGAGAAAUUUAAAGAGAUGUCAUGCGGACAGAAAUUAAGGAGUGAAUUUGGGGAUGCGCAAAUCUCAGGAUGAGAGUUUGGCAUUUUUAUUUGGUGGAAAGCUAAGGCACAACUCUCAAGAUAAGAGUUGGCAAAAUUUUUGGUGGAUGGAAGGGUGCAUGUUGUGUGCGACUUCUUAGUGUAAGAGUCGGCUUUAUUUGGUGGGUGUAAGUGAAUCUCUAAUCAUGGGCGUAAGACCAUAAUCUCGCUUGGGUCACAACAAUUUGACAAAGCUCAACAUACUACAAGCAGCAUAUGACUGAAGGUUUCAUCAUGAUCAAGGUAUAUUUGGUGUUGUUAGGUGAAAGCUUAAAACCAUUAAAGGAAACUUGCCAUGUGUAACUUUUGUUUUUGAUAAAAUAAAUCCCAAGUACUUUGUAAGAACUUAGCAAGAAUCAUGUCAUCCUACUAUAUCACAUAUGUCAAUUACUUAGAUAAAGUGGGGUCCCUACUACAAGUGUUCAUAACCUCAAGGAUAUUAGCAAGGAUUAAACCAUAUGCAAAGCAAAUUUGAAACUAGGAGACAUGUUAAAUGGAGUUUGAAGGUAACGAUAUUUUAAAUAUUUUAUUUUUUGAAAAACUUUUUAGAAGGGGGAGAAGGUUGUGCAAACUGAGUUCUCGAAGAUUCCCUCCCCCACACUUGUUUUCUUCUCUGUCAUGGUUAGUCAUAAUAUAUAAAGAAAACAAGUGCUCAUAAUAACUCAGAAAUAUUAUUGAUAACUUUGAAAAGGCACAUUACAUUAUUGAAGGGAAAUAAAUUAAGCAACAAAGAAGAUCAUGCUUGUGCCUAAACAAUCAGAAGCGUGCAGGAGAUGUGGUCUAAAGAUUUUCCACGAGGCGACCAACACCUAGGUUUUCAGCGACCUUCCUCAGCUUAUUGUUGAACCUGAAACGAAACCUAUUGAUAUCGUCACUGAGGUUCCUAUUCUCAGUAUGCUUCUCUUCUAGGUCGUCUUCUAAAACCCUUAGGACAGAGCGAAGGCUAGCUUGCUCGGAUUUAAGAUCAGCGAGGAUACUAGGAUCAUCCUCCUCAUCGCUGCUCUCAUACUGUCUGUUGACGGUCCUUAAUGCUCACAAUUAACCAUCAACUAAUCAUAGAAAAGGAUCCAAAUGCAACCA
RNAcentral lists this long non-coding RNA (1970 nucleotides) under Sorghum bicolor (sorghum). Its description in RNAcentral is "long non-coding RNA (SBIC_LNC004485)". The record is from RNAcentral. Lineage: Eukaryota; Viridiplantae; Streptophyta; Magnoliopsida; Poales; Poaceae.